Molecule: ribosomal RNA, 497 nt
Filed under: uncultured bacterium
Lineage: Bacteria
Description: partial 16S ribosomal RNA
Rfam family: Bacterial small subunit ribosomal RNA
Source: RNAcentral
GAUGAACGCUGGCGGCGUGCCUAAUACAUGCAAGUCGAGCGAACAGACGAGGAGCUUGCUCCUCUGACGUUAGCGGCGGACGGGUGAGUAACACGUGGAUAACCUACCUAUAAGACUGGGAUAACUUCGGGAAACCGGAGCUAAUACCGGAUAACAUGUUGAACCGCAUGGUUCAACAGUGAAAGACGGUUUUGCUGUCACUUAUAGAUGGAUCCGCGUCGCAUUAGCUAGUUGGUAAGGUAACGGCUUACCAAGGCAACGAUGCGUAGCCGACCUGAGAGGGUGAUCGGCCACACUGGAACUGAGACACGGUCCAGACUCCUACGGGAGGCAGCAGUAGGGAAUCUUCCGCAAUGGGCGAAAGCCUGACGGAGCAACGCCGCGUGAGUGAAGAAGGUCUUCGGAUCGUAAAACUCUGUUAUUAGGGAAGAACAAAUGUGUAAGUAACUAUGCACGUCUUGACGGUACCUAACCAGAAAGCCACGGCUAACUACGUG